GUGCCUUUAGCUUAUGCGGUAGAAGCGCUCGGCUCAUAACCGAGAGAUAGAAGGGUUCGAAUCCCUCAAGGCGCACCA
RNAcentral lists this transfer RNA (78 nucleotides) under Vibrio harveyi 1DA3. RNAcentral describes it as "tRNA-Met". It matches the Rfam family "tRNA". Rfam says of the family: Transfer RNA (tRNA) molecules are approximately 80 nucleotides in length. Their secondary structure includes four short double-helical elements and three loops (D, anti-codon, and T loops). Lineage: Bacteria; Pseudomonadati; Pseudomonadota; Gammaproteobacteria; Vibrionales; Vibrionaceae. The record is from RNAcentral.